GGGGGGAGAUCUACUAUUAGAGAGGAGAGAAUACAACUAGGUUUACAACUCUCACAAUUUAAACCCUCAAAUAAACUCUCCAAUCUCUCACAAAAGACACUCUCAAAAGGAUGCACACAACCCAAACAAUAAGCCUCUGCCUUUUUCUUUGCACAGCCGCAGUGAAUUCUUUUCCCAGCCCUAGCACACGAAAACUCCUUUUCACCGCCUCUGCACACGCGCCCAACAAUUGCACACACGCAGCCGCCAAAGAAAAUAACUGCCCACCCUCCUUCGCUACCUUUCUCCAAAGCCCUAGGUUACAUUUUAUAGCAACUGGAACGGGUCAUGUCAAGGUUCGGGUGGGCCUGGCCUCUUUUGUCCGCUGGGCAAGGACGCGGUUUCUUCUCUUCACGUGGGUGACUCUUUCACGCGGUUUUCAAGCCUCAGCUCGUGGUCCCCACUCACGUUACAUCCACAAUUUCAAGUGCUGGAAUGACUCUUAGCCUUCUUGUUGUUGCCAUUGCAUUUUAUUUGAAGGGAGCAAUAUCAGAUGAUUCUAGGUUCUAUUUUUUACUGAGUAUCAUCUCAUUGGCUGGACUUGUGGCUUAUGUCAUUUUUCUCUCUCUUGGGAUUGGAGCCAUCCCAUGGAUCAUAAUGUCUGAGGUAUGUGAAA
Molecule: long non-coding RNA, 655 nt
Organism: Asparagus officinalis (garden asparagus)
Lineage: Eukaryota; Viridiplantae; Streptophyta; Magnoliopsida; Asparagales; Asparagaceae
Exons: 4
Source: RefSeq, a predicted model, not a curated record